CCUACGGGAGGCAGCAGUGGGGAAUAUUGGUCAAUGGACGAGAGUCUGAACCAGCCAAGUAGCGUGAAGGAUGACUGCCCUAUGGGUUGUAACCUUCUUUUAUAAAGGAAUAAAACGAGACACUUGUGCCUUUUUGAAUGUACUUUAUGAAUAAGGAUCGGCUAACUGCGGGCCCGCAGCCGCGGUCAUACUGAGGAUCCGAGCGUUAUCCGGAUUUAUUGGGUUUAAAGGGAGCGUAGAUGGGUACUUAAGUCAGUUGUGAAAGUUUGCGGCUCAACCGUAAAAUUGCAAUUGAUACUGGCAGUCGUGAGUACAGUUGAGGUAGGCGGAAUUCGUGGGGGAGCGGGGAAAUGC
RNAcentral lists this ribosomal RNA (354 nucleotides) under uncultured bacterium. RNAcentral's name for it is "partial 16S ribosomal RNA". It matches the Rfam family "Bacterial small subunit ribosomal RNA", at positions 338 to 689 of the family's 1533-position model. The record is from RNAcentral.